GACGAACGCUGGCGGCGUGCCUAAUACAUGCAAGUCGAACGCAGUGGGGACGGGUGAGUAACACGUGGGUAACCUCCCAUCAGAGGGGAUAACACUUGGAAACAGGUGCUAAACCAAUCCGGAUGGAGGGAACAGCGGUGCAUUAGCUAGUUGGUGAGGUAACGGCUCACCAAGGCACCGAAGCAUAGCCGACCUGAGAGGUUGAUCGGCCACACUUGGACUGAGACACGGCCCAGACUCCUACGUGAGGCAGCAGUAGGGAAUCUUCGGCAAUGGCCGAAAGCCUGACCGAGCAACGCCGCGUGAGUGAAGAAGGUUUUCGGAUCGUAAAUCUCUGUUGUUAUAGAAGCGGUAUCUAACCAGAAAGCCACGGCUAACUACGUGCCAGCAGCCGCGGUAAUUC
This 403-nucleotide ribosomal RNA is filed under the name uncultured bacterium. RNAcentral's name for it is "partial 16S ribosomal RNA". It matches the Rfam family "Bacterial small subunit ribosomal RNA", at positions 28 to 526 of the family's 1533-position model. The record is from RNAcentral.